CUAGCUACAGGCUUAACACAUGCAAGUCGAGGGGCAGCAUGGGCUUAGCUUGCUAAGCCCGAUGGCGACCGGCGCACGGGUGAGUAACACGUAUCCAACCUGCCGAUUACUCCGGUAUAGCCUUUCGAAAGAAAGAUUAAUCCCGGAUGGCAUGGCGAUUCCGCAUGGUUUCUCCAUUAAAGGUUUUUCCGGUAAUCGAUGGGGAUGCGCUCCAUUAGGCAGUUGGCGGGGUAACGGCCCACCAAACCUACGAUGGAUAGGGGUUCUGAGAGGAAGGUCCCCCACAUUGGAACUGAGACACGGUCCAAACUCCUACGGGAGGCAGCAGUGAGGAAUAUUGGUCAAUGGGCGGAAGCCUGAACCAGCCAAGUAGCGUGAAGGAUGACUGCCCUAUGGGUUGUAAACUUCUUUUAUAAGGGAAUAAUUGCGGGUACGCGUACCUGUUUGCAUGUACCUUAUGAAUAAGGAUCGGCUAACUCCGUGCCAGCAGCCGCGGUAAUACGGAGGAUCCUAGCGUUAUCCGGAUUUAUUGGGUUUAAAGGGAGCGUAGGCGGGCGCUUAAGUCAGCUGUGAAAGUUUGGGGCUCAACCUUAAAAUUGCAGUUGAUACUGGGUGCCUUGAGUGCGGUAUAGGCAGGCGGAAUUCGUGGUGUAGCGGUGAAAUGCUUAGAUAUCACGAAGAACUCCGAUUGCGAAGGCAGCUUGCUGGAGCGUAACUGACGCUGAUGCUCGAAAGUGUGGGUAUCAAACAGGAUUAGAUACCCUGGUAGUCCACA
This 775-nucleotide ribosomal RNA is filed under the name uncultured bacterium. RNAcentral describes it as "bacterial SSU rRNA". It matches the Rfam family "Bacterial small subunit ribosomal RNA", at positions 36 to 799 of the family's 1533-position model. The record is from RNAcentral.